RNAcentral lists this ribosomal RNA (253 nucleotides) under uncultured bacterium. RNAcentral describes it as "partial 16S ribosomal RNA". It matches the Rfam family "Bacterial small subunit ribosomal RNA", at positions 524 to 776 of the family's 1533-position model. The record is from RNAcentral.
UACGUAGGGUGCAAGCGUUGUCCGGAAUUACUGGGCGUAGAGGGCUCGUAGGCGGCCAACUAAGUCGGAUGUGAAAUCCCCAGGCUCAACUUGGGAACUGCAUCCGAUACUGGAUGGCUUGAAUUCGGGAGAGGGAUGCAGAAUUCCAGGUGUAGCGGUGAAAUGCGUAGAUAUCUGGAGGAAUACCGGUGGCGAAGGCGGCAUCCUGGACCGACAUUGACGCUGAGGAGCGAAAGCUAGGGGAGCAAACGGG